UACAGAGGUCUCAAGCGUUGUUCGGAUUCAUUGGGCGUAAAGGGUGCGUAGGUGGCGCCGUAAGUCGGGUGUGAAAUUUCGGAGCUUAACUCCGAAACUGCAUUCGAUACUGCGGUGCUUGAGGACUGGAGAGGAGACUGGAAUUCCUGGUGUAGCGGUGAAAUGCGCAGAUAUCAGGAGGAACACCGGUGGCGAAGGCGGGUCUCUGGGCCGAUACUGACGCUGAGGAGCGAAAGCGUGGGGAGCGAACAGG
This 253-nucleotide ribosomal RNA is filed under the name uncultured bacterium. Its description in RNAcentral is "partial 16S ribosomal RNA". It matches the Rfam family "Bacterial small subunit ribosomal RNA", at positions 524 to 776 of the family's 1533-position model. The record is from RNAcentral.